UACCGUAGAGGAAGAUUUUUUCAUAUAUGGGCAUUAAGAGAGUUAUAAAUCACCAAAAUAGACGCUAGUUGAGAUAUAAUGCCACAUUAAUAAAAGUUUGGUAAAUUUCUAGAUUUAAGGUUUUUUAAUGUGAAAUGCUUUCAAUUCAUAGAAGCUAUGCUGAUUUGAAUACUCCGAUUUUGUAUGUCCUGGAAAUAUAUAUUUGCUGACAUAAAACUAAUCCUACUGUGGAAACGGAAGCACUUGAAGGCGUGGAAGAUUCAGCAAAUCCGUCGCUUCCAGAUCUAGAGGUUAUUAUUAAAACUGAAAUCGAAGAUUCAAUAGAAGAAAAUAAUGCAUUUUAUUCUGAUGAUCCGCUUGUAGCUGAAGAAUCAUCUUUGAGAGGAAUCCUACGUGAGGACCUAAGAGAAUUCCAUAACUAUGCCUUCGUCAGAAUUGAGGAGGGAAAUAAAUUUGAAACAGGAGAAGAGUUUGUAAAUGAAGCGCUACUCAAUUUUGAUAGACUAGAAAAAACAGCUCAUCCGAAGAGUUCAAAAAAUAUUCAGAAUGACAAAAGGUCCAUGAUGGAGUUAAAAGAGGCUUUGUGCAUUUCUCAGUGUAAUAUUAAGGUAUGGAAAACGAAAUUUUCUUGUUUGCAGAAACGUUACAACUGCCUUUUACAGGAAUUUCAGAAUCUUGAAAGAGCAGUUAAAAAUUUCCGAACCAAAAAAAUUGUAUCGCACGAUGCAGCUGUCAAAUUGUUAGAAGCUAUAUCUAAUUCUCUAAAACGAAAAAAGCCUGAAGUCGAAGUCUAAAUCUAUGUAAAUAAAAAAGUUGUGAAA
Long non-coding RNA from Belonocnema kinseyi, 821 nucleotides. RefSeq lists it as uncharacterized. Lineage: Eukaryota; Metazoa; Arthropoda; Insecta; Hymenoptera; Cynipidae. The transcript is spliced from 4 exons. The record is from RefSeq and is a predicted model, not a curated record.